AGUGAACGCUGGCGGUAGGCCUAACACAUGCAAGUCGAACGGCAGCACAGUAAGAGCUUGCUCUUACGGGUGGCGAGUGGCGGACGGGUGAGGAAUACAUCGGAAUCUACUUUUUCGUGGGGGAUAACGUAGGGAAACUUACGCUAAUACCGCAUACGACCUACGGGUGAAAGCAGGGGAUCUUCGGACCUUGCGCGACUGAAUGAGCCGAUGUCGGAUUAGCUAGUUGGCGGGGGAAAGGCCCACCAAGGCGACGAUCCGUAGCUGGUCUGAGAGGAUGAUCAGCCACACUGGAACUGAGACACGGUCCAGACUCCUACGGGAGGCAGCAGUGGGGAAUAUUGGACAAUGGGCGCAAGCCUGAUCCAGCCAUACCGCGUGGGUGAAGAAGGCCUUCGGGUUGUAAAGCCCUUUUGUUGGGAAAGAAAAGCAGCAGGUUAAUACCCCGCUGUUCUGACGGUACCCAAAGAAUAAGCACCGGCUAACUUCGUG
RNAcentral lists this ribosomal RNA (492 nucleotides) under uncultured bacterium. RNAcentral describes it as "partial 16S ribosomal RNA". It matches the Rfam family "Bacterial small subunit ribosomal RNA", at positions 29 to 507 of the family's 1533-position model. The record is from RNAcentral.